GGGGAAGCCGGUGCAAUUCCGGCGCUGACCCGCAACCGUGAACCGCCCCCCGCUUUCCGGGCGGUGAGCCGGACUGCCC
This 79-nucleotide non-coding RNA is filed under the name Streptomyces bungoensis. The record is from RNAcentral. Lineage: Bacteria; Bacillati; Actinomycetota; Actinomycetes; Kitasatosporales; Streptomycetaceae.